UACGAAGGGGGCUAGCGUUGCUCGGAAUCACUGGGCGUAAAGGGUGCGUAGGCGGGUUUUUAAGUCAGGGGUGAGAUCCUGGAGCUCAACUCCAGAACUGCCUUUGAUACUGAGGAUCUUGAGUUCGGGAGAGGUGAGUGGAACUGCGAGUGUAGAGGUGAAAUUCGUAGAUAUUCGCAAGAACACCAGUGGCGAAGGCGGCUCACUGGCCCGAUACUGACGCUGAGGCACGAAAGCGUGGGGAGCAAACAGG
Molecule: ribosomal RNA, 253 nt
Filed under: uncultured bacterium
Lineage: Bacteria
Description: partial 16S ribosomal RNA
Rfam family: Bacterial small subunit ribosomal RNA
Source: RNAcentral